This 571-nucleotide ribosomal RNA is filed under the name uncultured bacterium. RNAcentral's name for it is "bacterial SSU rRNA". It matches the Rfam family "Bacterial small subunit ribosomal RNA", at positions 338 to 918 of the family's 1533-position model. The record is from RNAcentral.
CCUACGGGAGGCAGCAGUGGGGAAUCUUGCGCAAUGGGCGGAAGCCUGACGCAGUGACGCCGCGUGGGGGAUGACGGCCUUCGGGUUGUAAACCUCUUUCGCCGCCGACGAAGCCUUCGGGUGAUGGUAGGCGGAUAAGAAGCACCGGCCAACUACGUGCCAGCAGCCGCGGUAACACGUAGGGUGCGAGCGUUGUCCGGAAUUAUUGGGCGUAAAGAGCGUGUAGGCGGCUUGGUAAGUCUGCUGUGAAACCUUGGGGCUCAACCCCAAGCGUGCAGUGGAUACUGUCAGGCUAGAGGAUGGUAGAGGCCAGUGGAAUUCCCGGUGUAGCGGUGAAAUGCGCAGAUAUCGGGAGGAACACCAGUAGCGAAGGCGGCUGGCUGGGCCAUUCCUGACGCUGAGGCGCGAAAGCUAGGGGAGCGAACAGGAUUAGAUACCCUGGUAGUCCUAGCCGUAAACGAUGAACACUAGGUGUGGGGGGAGUCGAAUCCCUCCGUGCCGAAGCCAACGCGUUAAGUGUUCCGCCCGGGGAGUACGGCCGCAAGGCUAAAACUCAAAUGAAUUGACGGGG